AAGUCGUAACAAGGUAACCGUAGGUGAACCUGCGGUUGGAUCAUUAACAAAAAGAUAGGGGUCAGACCUUAAAACGUCUGGCCUUUAUAAACACCUGUGCACUUGUAAUGUUUGAGGUGAGGUAAAAUUGGGGACUCGGCUAGAGUCUUUGGGGGUAUUAAAGGUUAAUUAGUCUGACUAAUGCGUUUAUACCUCACCUUGCCUCAACAUAACAUACAACAUGUAUAUCUUGAGCUAGUUUUUUAUUAUAUUAAUAUCUAACAACUUUUGACAACGGAUCUCUAGGCUCUC
This 291-nucleotide unclassified non-coding RNA is filed under the name fungal sp. Its description in RNAcentral is "partial internal transcribed spacer region". The stretch from base 1 to 46 matches the Rfam family "Eukaryotic small subunit ribosomal RNA", at positions 1786 to 1831 of the family's 1831-position model. The record is from RNAcentral. Lineage: Eukaryota; Fungi.